GCAGUCGUGGCCGAGCGGUUAAGGCGAUGGACUAGAAAUCCAUUAGGGUCUCCCAACACAGGUUCCAAUCCUGUUGACUGCG
Molecule: non-coding RNA, 82 nt
Organism: Ixodes scapularis (black-legged tick)
Lineage: Eukaryota; Metazoa; Arthropoda; Arachnida; Ixodida; Ixodidae
Source: Rfam